This 484-nucleotide ribosomal RNA is filed under the name uncultured bacterium. RNAcentral describes it as "partial 16S ribosomal RNA". It matches the Rfam family "Bacterial small subunit ribosomal RNA", at positions 29 to 507 of the family's 1533-position model. The record is from RNAcentral.
AAUGAACGCUGGCGGCAUGCCUAACACAUGCAAGUCGAGCGGAUGAAGGGGGCUUGCUCCUGGAUGCAGCGGCGGACGGGUGAGUAAUGCCCAGGAAUCUGCCUGGUCGUGGGGGAUAACGUCCGGAAACGGGCGCUAAUCUCGCAUCCGUCCAGAUGUAGAAAGUGGGGGGUCUUCGGACCGAACGCUUUCAGAUGAGCCUAGGUGGGAUUAGCUAGGUGGUGGGGUAAAGGGCUACCAAGGCGACGAACCGUAACUGGUCUGAGAGGAUGACCAGACACACUGGAACUGAGACACGGUCCAGACUCCUACGGGAGGCAGCAGUGGGGAAUCUUACGCAAUGGGCGAGAGCCUGAUACAGCCAUGCCGCGUGAGGGAAGAAGGUCUUCGGAUUGGAAAGCACUGUAAGUUGGGAGGAAGGGCAGUUAGUUAAUCCGUGACGAUUUUGACGGUACCGACAGAAUAAGCACCGGCUAACUUCGUG